Molecule: non-coding RNA, 1473 nt
Organism: Podarcis lilfordi (Lilford's wall lizard)
Lineage: Eukaryota; Metazoa; Chordata; Lepidosauria; Squamata; Lacertidae
Source: the annotation of a GenBank genome assembly
GAUGGAAAGGGACCGGGCCGGGGGGGUUUCAUGGCGCCUCACAGCCCAAACCCCACGGAGUCCAAAUGCGGAGCGUGUCACGGCGAGGGGAAUGCCAAAGGUGGUUUUCCUCGGCUACUCGCUGCCUUUCCAAAAAAUGUUAUUUUGCCCACCUUGUAAAGCGAAGUUGCAAGCGCUUAAGUUGCGGGCGGACUGUAACAUAUUCCCUGUUGGUUUGUUAGUUUGUCCUGUAUUUGUUCCUUUUUAAUUCCGUGGCUGGCGCAGCACCCAGAAAUAAUCAAGAAAUUGUUGUGCUUUCUAGUAUCUUAUUUCUGUCCCAUUUUAAAAAAUAAAAGGCAACCCAUGUUCCUUAGGCUUCCCAAAAAAUCAUGAUAGCAGUGGCUCCUCUGUAUGAGGUUUGUUUGUACACUUGGGAGAUUUGAGAAAGUGGGCCUGUUGUCUGAGUUUUCCAUCCUUGGAACAGCUUUCUGUGUCAUGAUUAUCAUUUUCACUCUCGAAUCCAGGGGCUCAAAGAUUUCCCACCAUGAACAAUUAACACACACCACUGUCUUGUGUCUCUGCAAGCGUUUCUACAGACUUGGGCCGGCCCUACCAUUAGGGAGAAUGAGACUACUGUCACUUUACCCCACAUAAGCUCACUUGACAGCUUGGAUCUGCCACAUAAUAUUCACUGUGCACUUGUAAGAAAUCAGUCUUUUUGUGUGGAAGCACCUGUACAUUGGAACUCCCUGCAGGUGUUUUCACUGUACUGUUUUCAGUGCCCAUUAAAACAUGGUGCCUUCUUACAUAAUUCUAGGCACCAGGCAAAAACAUUUCUCUUCCCCCAGGCAGUUAGUUGGCUGAUAAAACUAUCUAUGGCCUUUUAAAUGUGUUGGGGGUAUUGUUGGUGGUGGUAUGUUUGCUUAUCAUGUUAUGUGUUUUGUGUUUUUAUAUUGCAAACUACCCUGUGAUAUUUGGAUGAAGGGAUAAAUUUUAUUAUUAAUAAUAAUAAUUGUUUAGGCAGUUCUAGCAAAUGUGUUUUAUUUGUUUCUAAACUAGAGUAGGGACGCAGGUGGCACUGUGCUUUAAACCACCGAGUCUCUUGGGCUUGCUGAUCAUAAGUCCAGCAGUUCAAAUCAGUGUGACGGGGUCUGCUCUUGUUGCUUUCUUCCAGCUCCUGCCAACCCAGCAGUUUGAAAGCAUACCAGCGCAAGUAGGUAAGAUAAGGUAAGGUGAAUGGCGUUUCCGUGUGCUCUGGCACUUAUCACGGUGUCCCAUUGAACCAGUAGCAAUUUAGUUCUGCUUGCCACAUGACCCGGAAAACUGUCUGUGGACCAACGCCGGCUCCCUCAGCAGGAAAAGCAGAGAUGAGCACCCCACCCCAUAGUCAAAUUCAACUGGACUUAACCAUCCAGGGGUCCUUUACCGUUUUUUACCUUAGCUAGAGUUAAUUUGCGGGGCGCGGGUGGUGCUGUGGUCUAAACCACUGAGCCU